This 253-nucleotide ribosomal RNA is filed under the name uncultured bacterium. RNAcentral's name for it is "partial 16S ribosomal RNA". It matches the Rfam family "Bacterial small subunit ribosomal RNA", at positions 524 to 776 of the family's 1533-position model. The record is from RNAcentral.
UACAGAGGUCCCAAGCGUUGUUCGGAUUCACUGGGCGUAAAGGGCGCGUAGGCGGCCUGUUAAGUCGAACGUGAAAUCCCCGGGCUCAACCCGGGAACUGCGUCCGAUACUGGCAGGCUUGAAUCCGGGAGAGGGAUGUGGAAUUCCAGGUGUAGCGGUGAAAUGCGUAGAUAUCUGGAGGAAUACCGGUGGCGAAGGCGGCAUCCUGGACCGGCAUUGACGCUGAGGAGCGAAAGCCAGGGGAGCAAACGGG